This 400-nucleotide unclassified non-coding RNA is filed under the name uncultured fungus. RNAcentral's name for it is "sequence contains ITS1". The stretch from base 1 to 99 matches the Rfam family "5.8S ribosomal RNA", at positions 50 to 154 of the family's 154-position model. Lineage: Eukaryota; Fungi. The record is from RNAcentral.
GAAGUGCGACAAGUGUCAUGACUUGCAGAUUCCCGAGAGCUGACAAAUCUCUGAAUGCAAAUGGCGGUCGUCACAACGGCCAUGGAUUGCAGAGUGUAGUUGUUCAUACCUUUCAUCCCAUAUUCAUCAUCAUACAUCAUAUAUAUGAUGUCAUAUGAUAUGGAUAUGUUAAGGCAUCUGCACUUAUGAUCCCCUCCAAUCAUCAUGAGUGUGAAACGAUAUGAAUCGAGAGUCCUUCCAAAUGGAUCAUCAUCAUCAUGAUAUCAUCCAUUGGAAAUCACUUCGAAUAGGACCCGUUGAUAUGAUGCACAUUGCAACCAUGUCAAUGAGUUAUAUAGAAGUUUGAGAAGAAGACUUGAAGAUAUAGAUAUAUAUAUAUAGAAAGCCACCUCUGCGAUGC